UACGUAGGAUGCAAGCGUUGUCCGGAUUUACUGGGCGUAAAGCGCGCGCAGGCGGCAAGGUAAGUAAGGUGUGAAAUCUACCUGCUCAACGGGGUAGGGUGCACUUUAGACUGCUUUGCUUGAGGUCGGUAGAGGGGGGGUGGAAUUGCUGGUGUAGCGGUGAAAUGCGUAGAGAUCAGCAGGAACACCCGUGGCGAAGGCGGCCCCCUGGGCCGUACCUGACGCUGAGGCGGCGAAGGCUAGGGGAGCGAACGGG
This 256-nucleotide ribosomal RNA is filed under the name uncultured bacterium. RNAcentral's name for it is "partial 16S ribosomal RNA". It matches the Rfam family "Bacterial small subunit ribosomal RNA", at positions 524 to 776 of the family's 1533-position model. The record is from RNAcentral.